RNAcentral lists this ribosomal RNA (200 nucleotides) under uncultured organism. RNAcentral describes it as "partial small subunit ribosomal RNA". It matches the Rfam family "Bacterial small subunit ribosomal RNA", at positions 1184 to 1382 of the family's 1533-position model. The record is from RNAcentral.
GUCAAGUCAUCAUGCCCCUUAUGCCCAGGGCUACACACGUGCUACAUUGGCGCGUACAGAGGGAAGCGAUACCGCGAGGUGGAGCAAAUCCCAUAAAGCUGGUCGUAGUCCGGAUCGCAGUCUGCAACUCGGCUGCGUGAAGUCGGAAUCGCUAGUAAUCGUGAAUCAGCGAUGUCACGGUGAAUACGUUCCCGGGUCUU